This 1121-nucleotide ribosomal RNA is filed under the name Escherichia coli. RNAcentral's name for it is "bacterial SSU rRNA". It matches the Rfam family "Bacterial small subunit ribosomal RNA", at positions 41 to 1150 of the family's 1533-position model. The record is from RNAcentral. Lineage: Bacteria; Pseudomonadati; Pseudomonadota; Gammaproteobacteria; Enterobacterales; Enterobacteriaceae.
CGSAUGCGCAGCUACWMUGCAAGUCGAACGGUAACAGGAARMAGCUUGCUKYUUYGCUGACGAGUGGCGGACGGGUGAGUAAUGUCUGGGAAACUGCCUGAUGGAGGGGGAUAACUACUGGAAACGGUAGCUAAUACCGCAUAACGUCGCAAGACCAAAGAGGGGGACCUUCGGGCCUCUUGCCAUCGGAUGUGCCCAGAUGGGAUUAGCUUGUUGGUGGGGUAACGGCUCACCAAGGCGACGAUCCCUAGCUGGUCUGAGAGGAUGACCAGCCACACUGGAACUGAGACACGGUCCAGACUCCUACGGGAGGCAGCAGUGGGGAAUAUUGCACAAUGGGCGCAAGCCUGAUGCAGCCAUGCCGCGUGUAUGAAGAAGGCCUUCGGGUUGUAAAGUACUUUCAGCGGGGAGGAAGGGAGUAAAGUUAAUACCUUUGCUCAUUGACGUUACCCGCAGAAGAAGCACCGGCUAACUCCGUGCCAGCAGCCGCGGUAAUACGGAGGGUGCAAGCGUUAAUCGGAAUUACUGGGCGUAAAGCGCACGCAGGCGGUUUGUUAAGUCAGAUGUGAAAUCCCCGGGCUCAACCUGGGAACUGCAUCUGAUACUGGCAAGCUUGAGUCUCGUAGAGGGGGGUAGAAUUCCAGGUGUAGCGGUGAAAUGCGUAGAGAUCUGGAGGAAUACCGGUGGCGAAGGCGGCCCCCUGGACGAAGACUGACGCUCAGGUGCGAAAGCGUGGGGAGCAAACAGGAUUAGAUACCCUGGUAGUCCACGCCGUAAACGAUGUCGACUUGGAGGUUGUGCCCUUGAGGCGUGGCUUCCGGAGCUAACGCGUUAAGUCGACCGCCUGGGGAGUACGGCCGCAAGGUUAAAACUCAAAUGAAUUGACGGGGGCCCGCACAAGCGGUGGAGCAUGUGGUUUAAUUCGAUGCAACGCGAAGAACCUUACCUGGUCUUGACAUCCACAGAACUUUCCAGAGAUGGAUUGGUGCCUUCGGGAACUGUGAGACAGGUGCUGCAUGGCUGUCGUCAGCUCGUGUUGUGAAAUGUUGGGUUAAGUCCCGCAACGAGCGCAACCCUUAUCCUUUGUUGCCAGCGGUCCGGCCGGGAACUCAAAGGAGACU